Molecule: ribosomal RNA, 497 nt
Filed under: uncultured bacterium
Lineage: Bacteria
Description: partial 16S ribosomal RNA
Rfam family: Bacterial small subunit ribosomal RNA
Source: RNAcentral
GAUGAACGCUGGCGGCGUGCCUAAUACAUGCAAGUCGAGCGAACAGACGAGGAGCUUGCUCCUCUGAUGUUAGCGGCGGACGGGUGAGUAACACGUGGAUAACCUACCUAUAAGACUGGGAUAACUUCGGGAAACCGGAGCUAAUACCGGAUAACAUGUUGAACCGCAUGGUUCAACAGUGAAAGACGGUCUUGCUGUCACUUAUAGAUGGAUCCGCGCCGCAUUAGCUAGUUGGUAAGGUAACGGCUUACCAAGGCAACGAUGCGUAGCCGACCUGAGAGGGUGAUCGGCCACACUGGAACUGAGACACGGUCCAGACUCUUACGGGAGGCAGCAGUAGGGAAUCUUCCGCAAUGGGCGAAAGCCUGACGGAGCAACGCCGCGUGAGUGAAGAAGGUCUUCGGAUCGUAAAACUCUGUUAUUAGGGAAGAACAAAUGUGUAAGUAACUAUGCACGUCUUGACGGUACCUAAUCAGAAAGCCACGGCUAACUACGUG